CUUGACUCCUUUCUGCUUAAUAAUUUGAAAAUCAAAACUUAAUUGGUCAUAUCAUCAAAAAUAUUAUGUUAAGUGACAUAAGCCAGGCAAAAAGACAAACACGAAGAAUUUUUAAAAGUCCAUUUCAUAGAAAUAGCAGAAUCGUGGUUAUCAUGGGCUAGGCAGGGGAAGGGAGCAGGGCCAAUGAAGAGAGGUUGCUCAACAGGUACAUAAUUACAGUUAGUAGAAGGAAUAAGUUCUAGUGUUCUAUAUAUUUUAAUUUUAUUUUUUUAUUUUUUUUGAGACAGGGUCUUGCUCUGCCACCCAGGCUGGAGUGCAGUGGCACAAUUAUAGCCCACUGCAGCCUUGGCUUCCUGAGCUCAAGAGAUCCUCCCACCUUAGCCUCCCAAGUAACUGGGACUACAGUUUCAGGUAUGUCUUUAUCAGCAGUAUGAAAAUGGACUGAUACACAUGCCAUACCUAUAUUUCUGACUUACAAAAGCAUGAGCUAAUAAACAUGUGCUGUUUUAAACUGCUACGUUCAUGCUUCCUCUCAGUAUCUGAUGACAAUGAGAAAUGCAUUUGAAGAGAUAAACACUUCCCGAAAGACCAUCAUGAUAGGAGCUGAUACUCACAGAUGCCUUAGUGAAUGAUUACGUCUCAGGAUGCCAUAAGGAAUACACAGAAGGGUACAAUCUCAAGCCUGGCAUGGCAGAUGGGCUUGGCCAUGAAAACUCCUUACCAGAGAACAUGAGUCCGUGGCUCUAAAAACAACUACAACCCAAGUACAGACACAAAGAGCCUAGUAUGAAGUCAGUUGCACAGACGCAGCCCUGGUAUACAGUGGACUCACAGCCUCUUGUUUCUAAUAAUUUCCCAGAACACCCGUGUGGUAAGCUUUUUGGUGGAACUGAUUAUGAUAAUCUGGAGUGAAGUUUAGAGUUUGAGUAAGAAAUGAAGUAGUGAAUGAGCAAUGGCAGCAGCAGCAAGUUCUGUGCUUCCCUCAGCUGAUUUCCAUUCAUGGGACCUGUUAUGUUAGGUAGACCCACUCUGGGGCUGCUUUCCAUCAUUCAUGCCCUGUCACGCAGGCUGACACCAGAUACUUUGAUAUGGUGAAGAAGGACCUAUUUAGGUAAAUGAAAUUCCCAAAGGUUUAUGAAUAUGGACUCUAGAAGGGGAGGAGAUCUUGUCCCCAAAUCUUUCAUUUGCAUAUCCUGCUAAACUUACCUGUCAUUAACAGUAUUCUAUCAAUCCUGUUAAUGUUGUAAAUGUUUAGCGUUCUAAGGUAUAUAUUGGUAAGUUCUGACAACACUGCUGUUCCAUAGUAAAUCUAACUGAUUUAAAAGCAGGAGUCAGAUAAUGGAAACAGAUCUGGAGGCAGGGUUUGAGGCCCUGCAAGUACAUAAAAGAAACAAUUAGGUAUGUUUCUUGGCCUGAUUUUCUAGGGACCAAGUAGGAUAAAGUAACCAUCGGGGGGGAUGUACAGAAUAUCAAACUUCUUAUCAUAAAAUAUUGACUUACCAGCUGCAGUAAGGUGAAGCUUUCUUAGACAUGGAAUUCUUAGAAUAGCCAUAUCUGGUCUCUUAAUAUCACCUAUGAGCCAUGUGUCAUUCAGCACAUUUAUAACAGCAUAUGGCUAAGAACAAGGUCUGGGAACAUGGUGCAGUGUCAAAUACAGAUACAUCAUUUACUAAAAGUUAAUUCUACUGUGCUGAGAAAACAUAUUUAAUGGGCAAUAUCUAUGUCCAAAAACAACUACUGAAUGACAGGCAAGCUUGAUUGGAAAGACAUAAGGCAGUACACAAAAGAAAAAUUGUAAGGACACAAGCAAGAGACCUACAGUGGAUGUGGUGUGGCUGUGGAAUGCUUGGGGGAAAAAAAUGAACGCAUAAUCAGUUUGAAGUAAUUGCAGUAAGAGGAAUGACUCAUUUUGAGCAAGGACAGCCUUUGAAAGAAAAGGAGUCAUAAACAGAGUUGGCAAUGAUUAUUAACUUCCAUUUGUAUGCUGCACAACACAUUCCAAAACACUUCCACAUGUUUUAUCUUAGUCGAAUUGGAAAACAAUCCUGAAAGUCAGAAAAAGCAGGUAUUGUUCUCCCUGUUUUGUAUGCAAGGAAAGGAAUGCAGAGAGGUUAAUUGACUGGCCGAGGUCACAUUGCUAGUUAGAGAACCAGCAAGGAAGAGAACCUAGGUUUCCAGAAUCUCAGUGUAAUGUAUUUUAACCACCCCUGGCUGCACACAGCAGUUUUGCUGAACAAAGAAAUUCUUCACUUAUGUACAGCUUAGAGAACCCUGGCGUUUUUAUCCAGCCUCUUCCUAUUAAUAACAAUGAUGUCAAUUUCACCCCUCUCCAGCUAUGAAAUCAUAUGACCCCAGAGGUCACUGGGUUCAUCCACCAUCACACAACGUUCACCAGCCCAAGAUCAAAUUAACCUUUUUGCAUUACUACCAAAAUGUUUACUCCUAUUCACCUUAAGGCCAAACAUACACUUCAUAGACAUGUAUGAUGCAUAGAAUUACUUAGCUUUACUUAGAAAAAUAGAAUCCUUGCUAAAGAACACAUUCCAAUUGCUUUACCUUGGUGGAGAGGAGACAUAAGAAGAAUAUGAGGUAAUUACAAUGUCUAUUAUGACCUCAGGCUAUAGGCCUUAAAACACCACCUUAAAAAUACAAAAGGAUAGUUGAUGUUUAUUUUCCGACCUAACUUGUAAUUUGCUAUAUUCCAUAUAUCUAAAUCAAAUUCCACUGCAAUCAGAGCUAGAAUUCCACAGCAAUCAAUGCCUGCAGUCAGGCUGGAAAAAAACAGUUGCAUUUGGGUGUCUAAUCACUACCUGUCAAUACCUGCUGUUGAACAGGAGUGGGCUCCACUUUCAAUUGUCAAACAAUUGAUUUUUCCAGGCGAUGUGGAUGAAGUGGACAAGAAAAGCUCCUGUGUUUUUAUCCACGACCCUCCUGCUUGGAACAACUGAACCCCAAAUCAAAAUAAUUUCACUCCACAUCCUAAUUAUAUCAGUUGUCAACAUCUCUAGCAUCAAAAAUAUCCCGUUUAUUCCAGUUCAGUAUGUCAAGCACAAGAAAAUAUAAUCACAAGUGGGAGCGAAAAGAAACAUGAUGUGAAUCGAGAGAGCUGUUUUGCAUGAGGCAAAACUGCACUGUAGUUUGCAUUCGAAUCUAUUUCAGCAUUUGAAGAUAUGCAAUUCUUCUCCUACAAGGGUAUUAUAAUUGAUUGUGUGAUUUGUAUAAAUAAAUGAGGCUUAAAAGAAAACCACAUGACUUAAAGUUCUUUCACUAGUAAGAAUAUGUGUAAUUUGUUCUCCAGUUGGAGACUUAGAAUACUGCUGGAAAAACCUAAAUUUGUUUAAUGUUCUGCCUCUUUCCUCAUUGGCUGCCUAAUGUUUUUAAUCUAUUCAGUUCAGACCAUUUCUGAUUGAUGGG
RNAcentral lists this long non-coding RNA (3414 nucleotides) under Homo sapiens (human). RNAcentral's name for it is "HSALNT0205221". Lineage: Eukaryota; Metazoa; Chordata; Mammalia; Primates; Hominidae. The record is from RNAcentral.